Molecule: ribosomal RNA, 493 nt
Filed under: uncultured Gammaproteobacteria bacterium
Lineage: Bacteria; Pseudomonadati; Pseudomonadota; Gammaproteobacteria
Also listed under: 1 other name
Description: bacterial SSU rRNA
Rfam family: Bacterial small subunit ribosomal RNA
Source: RNAcentral
GAGUUUGAUCCUGGCUCAGAGUGAACGCUGGCGGUAGGCCUAACACAUGCAAGUCGAACGGCAACACAGUAAGAGCUUGUUCUUAUGGGUGGCGAGUGGCGGACGGGUGAGGAAUACAUCGGAAUCUACUCUGUCGUGGGGGAUAACGUAGGGAAACUUACGCUAAUACCGCAUACGACCUACGGGUGAAAGCAGGGGAUCUUCGGACCUUGCGCGAUUGAAUGAGCCGAUGUCGGAUUAGCUAGUUGGCGGGGUAAAGGCCCACCAAGGCGACGAUCCGUAGCUGGUCUGAGAGGAUGAUCAGCCACACUGGAACUGAGACACGGUCCAGACUCCUACGGGAGGCAGCAGUGGGGAAUAUUGGACAAUGGGCGCAAGCCUGAUCCAGCCAUACCGCGUGGGUGAAGAAGGCCUUCGGGUUGUAAAGCCCUUUUGUUGGGAAAGAAAUCCAGCUGGCUAAUACCCGGUUGGGAUGACGGUACCCAAAGGAUAA